AAGAAUACUUGGCAGGGGAGCUACCAUUGCACUCCGAAUGUGCUGACCCCUGCGAUUUCCCCAAAUGUAGGAAAUUUGACUGCAUAAUUUGUGAUGGGGGAAAAAAAGAGAAAAUCCCAA
Small nuclear RNA from Lynx canadensis (Canada lynx), 120 nucleotides. Its record names the gene U1. It matches the Rfam family "U1 spliceosomal RNA". From Rfam's summary of the family: U1 is a small nuclear RNA (snRNA) component of the spliceosome (involved in pre-mRNA splicing). Its 5' end forms complementary base pairs with the 5' splice junction, thus defining the 5' donor site of an intron. NCBI's taxonomy places the organism in Eukaryota, Metazoa, Chordata, Mammalia, Carnivora, Felidae. The record is from Ensembl.